UAGAGUUUGAUCAUGGCUCAGAACGAACGCUGGCGGCAGGCUUAACACAUGCAAGUCGAACGAAGUACUCCUGCUUGCAGGAACUACUUAGUGGCGCACGGGUGAGUAACGCGUGGGGACCUACCAUUCUGUAGAGGAUAACUGUUGGAAACGACAGCUAAUACUGUAUACGCCCUUCGGGGGAAAGAUUUAUCGCAGAUUGAUGGACCCGCGUCUGAUUAGCUAGUUGGUGAGGUAAGAGCUCACCAAGGCAACGAUCAGUAGCUGGUUUGAGAGGAUGAUCAGCCACACUGGGACUGAGACACGGCCCAGACUCCUACGGGAGGCAGCAGUGGGGAAUAUUGCGCAAUGGGGGAAACCCUGACGCAGCCAUGCCGCGUGAGUGAA
Molecule: ribosomal RNA, 387 nt
Filed under: uncultured marine bacterium
Lineage: Bacteria
Description: bacterial SSU rRNA
Rfam family: Bacterial small subunit ribosomal RNA
Source: RNAcentral